UGCAGUNNNNNUGAAGGCCGAGAUGAUGACUUCGGUUUGAUUUUCGGUUGGAAAGUGGCGAACGGGUGAGUAACACGUAGGUGACCUGCCUCGAAGUGGGGGACAACCAUUGGAAACGAUGGCUAAUACCGCAUACGCCUGGGGUUGUGGGAGCAGCUUCAGGGAAAGCUCCGGCGCUUUGAGAGGGGCCUGCGUCCGAUUAGCUAGUUGGUGGGGUAAUGGCCCACCAAGGCGACGAUCGGUAGCUGGUCUGAGAGGACGAUCAGUCACACGGGAACUGAGACACGGUCCCGACUCCUACGGGGGGCAGCAGUGAGGAAUAUUGCACAAUGGGGGCAACCCUGAUGCAGCAACGCCGCGUGGAGGAUGAAGGCCUUUGGGUCGUAAACUCCUUUUUUGAGGGAAGAGUAAGGACGGUACCUCAAGAAUAAGUCACGGCUAACUACGUGCCAGCAGCCGCGGUAACACGUAGGUGGCAAGCGUUAUCCGGAAUUACUGGGCGUAAAGCGCACGCAGGCGGUUGAUCAAGUCUGAUGUGAAAGCUCCCGGCUUAACUGGGAGAGGUCGUUGGAAACUGGUCAACUUGAGGUAAUGAGAGGGGUGUGGAAUUCCCGGUGUAGUGGUGGAAUGCGUAGAUAUCGGGGGGAACACCAGUGGCGAAAGCGGCACCCUGGCAUUGACCUGACGCUCAUGUGCGAAAGCGUGGGGAGCGAACGGGAUUAGAUACCCCGGUAGUCCACGCUGUAAACGAUGAACACUNGGUGUGGGUAGUAUCAAACCUAUUCGUGCCGAAGCAAACGCNAUAAGUGUUCCNCCUGGGGAGUANNNCCGCANGGCUA
This 839-nucleotide ribosomal RNA is filed under the name uncultured bacterium. RNAcentral describes it as "bacterial SSU rRNA". It matches the Rfam family "Bacterial small subunit ribosomal RNA", at positions 45 to 896 of the family's 1533-position model. The record is from RNAcentral.